This 72-nucleotide transfer RNA is filed under the name Lachnospiraceae bacterium. RNAcentral's name for it is "tRNA-Gln". It matches the Rfam family "tRNA". Rfam says of the family: Transfer RNA (tRNA) molecules are approximately 80 nucleotides in length. The record is from RNAcentral. Lineage: Bacteria; Bacillati; Bacillota; Clostridia; Lachnospirales; Lachnospiraceae. RNAcentral also lists the same sequence under 1 other name.
UGGGCUAUCGCCAAGCGGUAAGGCACAGGACUUUGACUCCUGGAUUCACGAGUUCGAAUCUCGUUAGCCCAG